UACGUAGGGGGCAGGCGUUGUCCGGAAUCAUUGGGCGUAAAGCGCGUGUAGGCGGCUAGAUAAGUCUGCUCUGAAAGCCCGGGGCUCAACCCCGGGAGGCGGGUGGAUACUGUCUAGCUCGAGUCCGGAAGAGGAGUGUGGAAUUCCUGGUGUAGCGGUGAAAUGCGCAGAUAUCAGGAGGAACACCUGAGGUGAAGACGGGUUGCUGGGCCGACACUGACGCUGAGGCGCGAAAGCCAGGGGAGCAAACGGG
This 253-nucleotide ribosomal RNA is filed under the name uncultured bacterium. RNAcentral describes it as "partial 16S ribosomal RNA". It matches the Rfam family "Bacterial small subunit ribosomal RNA", at positions 524 to 776 of the family's 1533-position model. The record is from RNAcentral.